This is a long non-coding RNA of Episyrphus balteatus (marmalade hoverfly), 1116 nucleotides long. RefSeq lists it as uncharacterized. The transcript is spliced from 2 exons. The record is from RefSeq and is a predicted model, not a curated record. NCBI's taxonomy places the organism in Eukaryota, Metazoa, Arthropoda, Insecta, Diptera, Syrphidae.
AUAGAUAUCCAAAAAUUAGGUAAAAUUGUAUCAGAAAUUUAAGAAUCCCAAGUGUGGUGAGUAGAAAGAACUAUAUAUGUUUAUUAGCGCAUCACUUUAUCUUAAAUUGGGUAAAAAUAACUUAAUCAAAAUAGAUGCAUUCGAACGUAAUUUUCCAUAACUAAUAUUAAAAUACUAUGAAUGGGGAAAGAAGCAAUAGUGGUGAGUAUUCUUUUACUUUGUCCCAACUUUUCAAAUUUAUUUCAACUCAAAUUCGGUUCAAAAUUUCAAUAAAUAAGAGUCAACAAUUGAGAAUGUAAAAAAAAAAUCAAGUAAAAUUAUUGAGAGUUUAAGAAAUUCCAACUGUGGAAGUAACUGGUGCAAGACAUUAGAGCCAACAUGGAGGAGAGGAAUGAGUGAGGUUAUGGCAGGACGUCAAAUAUUCAUCGGCUCUCCAGAUUGGCCAAAGUUCCUGUUCUGAAUUUCUGAAGUUCAUUUAAAAUGCAUGCUAUUAUGUGCAUAGACAUCAGUGUGGCUAUAUACCUUUCUACACAGUAAACCUUCAUACCUUUCUCGGAGUUUCUUGUUUUUCGUUAAUGAUUUCAUAUAUAGGAAGGGCAAACAUAGAGCGAGGGCCACACAAAAGGACGAUUAUACCAUUGCUUUGCGAUGCUACAACUAAAUCCACUACUUUCACUACACGAUGGAGAUGAUGAUGACGUAUACAACCUUACUCCUACCUUUAUGAAAGUAAGAGCAAAGAGUAGAAGUAGGAGGCAAUCAUAUGAAAUAUAAAUGGCCUGAAAAUUAACUCUAUGCUUUGGCAUCCUAAAGCGAAACCGUCCUUUUCGUUCUUGUUUUCGAGGACGAAAAGGACGAUGGUGACGUGUCGGCGAUGAAAAGCAGGGGAAAAGGUGGAAUUUCAUUAUUUUUCGAUGGAAAAAUCUUGCACGAGUUAGUCCAUGCUUUCGGUCAAAAAUGUAUUCCCGCAAAAACAACAACAGCGGAGGAAAUAAUAAAAAAAAAAAACUCUCAGAUUCCACCUGCUGACCAAAUUAUGGUAGGACCACGACUCGCGAAUAAUUUUCACCAGGAUAUGGUUUGUGUCGUAAAAAAAAACAACAACAACAAAACAAA